CCUACGGGUGGCAGCAGUGGGGAAUAUUGCACAAUGGGGGAAACCCUGAUGCAGCGACGCCGCGUGGGUGACGAAGUAUUUCGGUAUGUAAAGCCCUAUCAGCAGGGAAGAAGAUGACAGUACCUGACCAAGAAGCCCCGGCUAACUACGUGCCAGCAGCCGCGGUAAUACGUAGGGGGCAAGCGUUAUCCGGAUUUACUGGGUGUAAAGGGAGCGUAGGUGGCAUGGCAAGCCAGAAGUGAAAACCCGGGGCUUAACCCCGCGGAUUGCUUUUGGAACUGUCAGGCUGGAGUGCAGGAGGGGCAGGCGGAAUUCCUAGUGUAGCGGUGAAAUGCGUAGAUAUUAGGAAGAACACCAGUGGCGAAGGCGGAUUACUGGACGAUAACUGACGGUGAGGCGCGAAAGCGUGGGGAGCAAACAGGAUUAGAUACCCCAGUAGUC
This 441-nucleotide ribosomal RNA is filed under the name uncultured bacterium. Its description in RNAcentral is "partial 16S ribosomal RNA". It matches the Rfam family "Bacterial small subunit ribosomal RNA", at positions 338 to 795 of the family's 1533-position model. The record is from RNAcentral.